CAAAUUGCUAUCACUAAAGCCUCUUGAGUCGAGCAUUUCAAUAAGUAUACAAAAGAUAUGUGGAAUCUCUGGAAUAUUUUAGUAUAUAAAUUGGCGUUCAGAACCGAUCCUGGGCACUUGGAUUAUCCCACUAGAUCCAACAUCUUCACCAUGAAAGCUGUAUUUCUCUUCGUUCUUACGAUUGCCCUGAUGGCCAUGGCCAUGGGUGCUGUUCAUCGUGAGUAAACCUAUUUUUGUUUCAUUUCAUUUUAACCUCAGUUUGAAAUUUG
Long non-coding RNA from Argiope bruennichi, 269 nucleotides. RefSeq lists it as uncharacterized. The record is from RefSeq and is a predicted model, not a curated record. The transcript is spliced from 3 exons. Lineage: Eukaryota; Metazoa; Arthropoda; Arachnida; Araneae; Araneidae.